GCACGUCGCAGGAAGACUGAUGCUAUUGGUUAGUAAAAGUAAAGGCCAUCCAACGACUUCCGCUCCGCUCCUUUUAAGAACAAGCCUCAGCUCCGCUCCGUUCUUUCGAGACUACGGACCCGGGAAGGGCCCUCCCCGUCGAGGACGCCAGUGUGCGCUCUGCGUUGCGUUUUCAGCCCCUCCCUGCCUCCGAGCGUCAAUAAAGUGGCUUGACCCCCG
Dipodomys ordii (Ord's kangaroo rat) is the source of this 219-nucleotide long non-coding RNA. RefSeq lists it as uncharacterized. The transcript has 2 exons. Lineage: Eukaryota; Metazoa; Chordata; Mammalia; Rodentia; Heteromyidae. The record is from RefSeq and is a predicted model, not a curated record.